Long non-coding RNA from Fundulus heteroclitus (mummichog), 910 nucleotides. RefSeq lists it as uncharacterized. The transcript has 3 exons. The record is from RefSeq and is a predicted model, not a curated record. Lineage: Eukaryota; Metazoa; Chordata; Actinopteri; Cyprinodontiformes; Fundulidae.
CCCAGGUCUAAAUCUCAGUGAUCAAGCCUGUGUAAAAUAGAACUUCCAUCCCCUCACUACUUCAUAGCCAAUCACUGUCAAGUAUCAUGGUCACAUGUACUUCCACAGCCUAUCAGCUAGGUAUAUUAGCUGGAGUAAGGAAGUAGGAAGGUUAGGACAUGUUGGGAGAAGCAGAGCUGCAGGAGCUAACUACUUUGCCAGGAUGAGAUGGGGAGAAAAACCUGUUGUGUGAGGCAUAAACUGUGGAAUUGGCCAGGUUUGAUGGCGAGCUGAAGAUCCAGGCCUAGAGCCCAAGAAAGAUUUGCACUUUGGCGUGCGUGCGUGAAGACUUGUUGAUCUCCUGCCAGGCUGGUAGGAGGCUCCUUGCAGCCAACGAACAAUUCUGUUCUACCCUGAUCUGACUUGCGUCAGUUAGGACCUGCACUGCACCAAGCACUUUAAAAGAACUUGCUUGGGACCUUUAACCAACCCCAGCUUGGGGUGAAUGAACUGAAGGGUGUGGGUUCAUUAAUUGUAGAAUUGAUUAAUGUUUUUUUCUGUUUAUUUAGUUUUUUUCUUUUGCGCAUUUUAUAUGGCCAUUUGAAUGUUUCACUGUUGUAAAUAUGUAUAUAACUUUCUACACUAUAAAUACAAAGGCACUCGCAACUGCAACCUUCCAGUCUGUCUGCUCCUUCAUGAGUCGAAUCUAGUUUCUGAUCCAACUAGCCUAUUGACCCGAUUGGUCACUAUUCACUUACAUUGAUUUAAAAUGUACUAUAUUAUAUUUACAAAUAUGCUACAUUAAUUUAUGGCGAGCUAGCCAGGAGGAGUUUGUACAGAGCUGAAGUAUUGCAGUUUGCUAUUUUGUUGCUACUAUGGACGUCUUUGUGAAAUACGGGGUUAAAAUACCUAAUGCAGUGUUGAUUAAAUA